ACAGGGGGAUGCUUACCAUGCAGUCGAGCGGCAGCAUGCCCUUCGGGGUGAUGGCGAGCGGCGGACGGGUGAGUAAUACAUAGGAAUCUGCCCUAGAGUGGGGGAUAGCCCGGGGAAACUCGGAUUAAUACCGCAUAAUCUCUACGGAGCAAAGUGGGGGAUCUUCGGACCUCACGCUUUAGGAUGAGCCUAUGGCCGAUUAGCUUGUUGGUGAGGUAACGGCUCACCAAGGCCACGAUCGGUAGCUGGUUUGAGAGGAUGAUCAGCCACACUGGGACUGAGACACGGCCCAGACUCCUACGGGAGGCAGCAGUGGGGAAUAUUGGACAAUGGGCGAAAGCCUGAUCCAGCAAUUCCGCGUGUGUGAAGAAGGCCUUAGGGUUGUAAAGCACUUUAAUCAGGGAAGAAAAAGCUUUGGCUAAUAUCCAAAGCCUUGACGGUACCUGAAGAAUAAGCACCGGCAAACUCUGUGCCAGCAGCCGCGGUAAUACAGAGGGUGCGAGCGUUAAUCGGAUUUACUGGGCGUAAAGCGUGCGUAGGAGGCUUGUUAAGUCGGUUGUGAAAUCCCCGGGCUCAACCUGGGAACUGCAGUCGAUACUGGCAAGCUAGAGUUCGGUAGAGGGUGGUGGAAUUUCCGGUGUAGCGGUGAAAUGCGUAGAGAUCGGAAGGAACACCAAUGGCGAAGGCAACCACCUGGGCCUGAACUGACU
RNAcentral lists this ribosomal RNA (710 nucleotides) under Algiphilus sp. RNAcentral describes it as "bacterial SSU rRNA". It matches the Rfam family "Bacterial small subunit ribosomal RNA", at positions 36 to 745 of the family's 1533-position model. Lineage: Bacteria; Pseudomonadati; Pseudomonadota; Gammaproteobacteria; Nevskiales; Algiphilaceae. The record is from RNAcentral.